This 253-nucleotide ribosomal RNA is filed under the name uncultured bacterium. RNAcentral's name for it is "partial 16S ribosomal RNA". It matches the Rfam family "Bacterial small subunit ribosomal RNA", at positions 524 to 776 of the family's 1533-position model. The record is from RNAcentral.
UACGUAGGGACCAAGCGUUGUUCGGAUUUACUGGGCGUAAAGGGCGCGUAGGCGGCGCGGUAAGUCACUUGUGAAAUCUCUGAGCUUAACUCAGAACGGCCAAGUGAUACUGCAGUGCUAGAGUGCGGAAGGGGCAAUCGGAAUUCUUGGUGUAGCGGUGAAAUGCGUAGAUAUCAAGAGGAACACCUGAGGUGAAGACGGGUUGCUGGGCCGACACUGACGCUGAGGCGCGAAAGCCAGGGGAGCAAACGGG